RNAcentral lists this ribosomal RNA (399 nucleotides) under uncultured bacterium. RNAcentral describes it as "bacterial SSU rRNA". It matches the Rfam family "Bacterial small subunit ribosomal RNA", at positions 28 to 430 of the family's 1533-position model. The record is from RNAcentral.
GACGAACGCUGGCGGCGUGCUUAACACAUGCAAGUCGAGCGGUAAGGCCCUUUCGGGGGUACACGAGCGGCGAACGGGUGAGUAACACGUGGGUGACCUGCCCUCAGCUCUGGGAUAAGCCUGGGAAACCGGGUCUAAUACUGGAUAUGACUCCAUGACGCAUGUUGUGGGGUGGAAAGCCUUGUGCGGCUGAGGAUGGGCCCGCGGCCUAUCAGCUUGUUGGUGGGGUGANGGCCUACCAAGGCGACGACGGGUAGCCGGCCUGAGAGGGCGACCGGCCACACUGGGACUGAGACACGGCCCAGACUCCUACGGGGAGGCAGCAGUGGGGAAUCUUGCGCAAUGGGCGAAAGCCUGACGCAGCGACGCCGCGUGAGGGAUGACGGCCUGGUUGUAACU